GACGAACGCUGGCGGCGUGCCUAAUACAUGCAAGUAGAACGCUGAAGGAGGAGCUUGCUUCUCCGGAUGAGUUGCGAACGGGUGAGUAACGCGUAGGUAACCUGCCUGGUAGCGGGGGAUAACUAUUGGAAACGAUAGCUAAUACCGCAUAAGAGUAGAUGUCGCAUGACAUUUGCUUAAAAGGUGCAACUGCACCACUACCAGAUGGACCUGCGUUGUAUUAGCUAGUUGGUGAGGUAACGGCUCACCAAGGCAACGAUACAUAGCCGACCUGAGAGGGUGGUCGGCCAAACUGGGACUGAGAACCGGCCCAGACUCCUACGGGAGGCAGCAGUAGGGAAUCUUCGGCAAUGGGGGGAAGUCUGACCGCGCAACGCCGGGUGAGUGAAGAAGGUUUUCGGAUCGUAAAGCUCUGUUGUAAGGGAAGAAAGAGUGGGAGGGUGAAACGUCCACGCUGUGACGGUAUCUUACCAAAAAGGACCGGCUAACUACGUG
RNAcentral lists this ribosomal RNA (495 nucleotides) under uncultured bacterium. Its description in RNAcentral is "partial 16S ribosomal RNA". It matches the Rfam family "Bacterial small subunit ribosomal RNA", at positions 28 to 507 of the family's 1533-position model. The record is from RNAcentral.